AUGCAGCAUUUUUUAGUUAAUAUCGCCAAGAACAGCUAAGGGUUAAAGAAACUUAAAAAUUGAAAUGGCAAGAAGAUCACUCUUCAAUAUUUCAAUGUUGGUCGUCGUCUUUUUAAAUGGAGCAAUACUAGCGAUUGCAAGAGAAGCGCCAGAAGAACCACUUUCUCCUGCUUACUUUGAUUUCGCAGCACUACCACCGCUGCCAGGCCAAUGUCAGGUGCGCAUGGAUAAGAUAGAACAGAUGCCAGAUUCGUGUGGAGAAACAUUGGAGAGGCUCGUGCUGAGUAAAACCCUACCGGUUGCAAAAGAUGCAAUUUGUUGUGGGGAGUAUAUUCAAAGAAUCACCAAGUCAUGCUGGGAUGCACUCAUGGAAUGGCUCGAAGCUCUUCCUGAUCAACAAAUAUAUUCUAGAUAUUCCAAAAACAUUCAUCCAUGGGCGGAGAACACCUGGAAUACAUGUCUGAACCUCACAAAAUCCGGUAUUGUUCACCUUUUCCACAAUGAGUUCAUCUUUUCCACAGUGAGUUCUGAAAACCGGACACUAUCACGAUUAAUAUCCAGAAUAAGUGAAGAAAACUGGAACAUGAUACUGCGCGCACGUUGAACAUACAGUGAUGAAACAUUUCGGUGAUUCUUAAAAUCCGGAGAGAAGAAGACCAUAAUCGUAAAUCUGGUAUAGAUUUCAAAUUACGGCACCACAUGAUAUCUAAUCUCUCAAGCAAAGGAAAUGAAUUUACGGUUGGAGGAAGUGCACACCAUUCUUCCAAGUUUUUCAUACUUUCAAUUGUAAACCUCGUUAGCGAAGGGAAUAAUGUUGUUGUUGUUUCUUUUUCCUCUACUUCUUCUUCCUGCUGGUAAUAAAAUUGUUUACCCAAA
Papaver somniferum (opium poppy) is the source of this 876-nucleotide RNA transcript. RefSeq lists it as uncharacterized. The transcript has 3 exons. Lineage: Eukaryota; Viridiplantae; Streptophyta; Magnoliopsida; Ranunculales; Papaveraceae. The record is from RefSeq and is a predicted model, not a curated record.